Non-coding RNA from Durio zibethinus, 4702 nucleotides. The record is from RefSeq and is a predicted model, not a curated record. Lineage: Eukaryota; Viridiplantae; Streptophyta; Magnoliopsida; Malvales; Malvaceae.
UAGGAUUUACUCACUCAUCCAAUCAGAGCCAACCAAGUAAUCAACUCAAACAUUCUCUAAACUGUAAACUGUUGUUUCUGAGUUGACCCUCCACCGCCCGACAGCCUAACCCGCUAUCCGCCACCGCCGAACCAAUGGGCUCGCCGAAAACAACCACGCCAUCAUCCCGACCAUUCCUCCACCCCAUAAUAACCCUAGACGCCACCGUCUCCCUCUUCCUCCACACACUCUUCAAACCCAUCCUCCCUACUUUCCUCCUCCUCCUUCUCGAAUACUCCGCCGAUUUCCGCUUUUCCUUCCCUGUUUCCCUCUCUAUCUAUCUUGCCUCCCCCUCGCUUUCCUCUCUAUCCAUCCCUCUCAUCCUCGGCCUCCUCCUGGACCUCGCUUUGAUCGGCCUCAUCAAACUAACCUUCCGCCGUGCCCGUCCUCAUUACAACCCCAACAUGUCCCCCGCUGUUCACGCCGACAACUUCUCUUUCCCAAGUGGCCACGCUUCACGUGUUCUUUUUUUAGCCACUCUCUUCCACCUUAUUCUUCAAAACGACGUGGGACUUGUUUCGGAUUUUAUUCGACGGUGGAUUAAAUUCGAAACCCAUUUUGUUUUAUUAGGUAUAUGGGUUUGGGCUAUAAUGACUGCUAGUUCGAGGGUUUUGCUUGGAAGACAUUUCCUUUUUGACGUUUUGGCUGGGGCGUUUCUUGGGGUACUUGAAGGGAUUGUUGCCUUUCGGUUUUUGAGGUUUUAGGAAGCGUUCUCAAAGGUAACGGAUUGAGUAUUAUUGCAAAAAUUGUACUUAUUUUUGACAUGGGAAUUCUUUUCUUUGUAAUCUUUGAUGUGAAAGUUGUUGAUAAUUCAAUUUCAUACGAAGUAUUUUAUGAUAAUCACAUUGUGUGUUGCUUUCAAAAUUUUAUUUUCAUGUGCAAAUUAUAAGCUUGAGAAAUGUCUGUGCAAUAAUUUUCCUUUUGCUGUCAUUAAAGCAUAAGACUGGGUAUGGUUACAUUCGUCAGUCUACUUUAUAAAUGAGCUUUAGCGUGUCUUGUUGACAUUUUUUCUUACCAAUGUCAUGUUUUUAAGUUAUUUUAGUUAUCGAUCAUAUGGGAAAGCUAAAUCUAUUUAUGAACAGAACAUGGCUUGUUAAUUGAAUGAAGUUUGAUUGCCAAAUUCUUCAUGUAAAUCAAGCUGAUCAUGGUCCUGCAUUUUAUUAAGGUUAGAGAGUUGGAGUUUGAUUAGUCCUAUGGAAUCUGUAACCUUCUUUUGAUAGAAAAGCUUUUUUAUGAAACAUUUGAAAUCACAAUUCAAGUUAUAAAUGUGUAUGCUAUCGAUAUUAUUUGCCACAUGAAUGGUUUGGUUGUAAGGAGUUCAAUUGGCUAGUUCUAGUAUUUCUUUCUCCAAUACUUUGGCUAACAAGGCAAAUAUAUAUAUUUUUUAUGGUAAUUUGUUUCUGUUCUUUGGUAACUUGGGAUUUAGUUAAACUUGAUUAAUUGUCCCUGUAAGAUGAUUUCAUAAUUGCAAAGGAUAUAUUUGCGCUGGAAGUUAUUUGAUCUAUAUUUCAGUUGCUUCAUCACUAUGGCCCAAUGUAGUUGCAUUUUUUACAUAAACUGUAUACCAUAAUUUCAGCAAUUUAGUGGAGGCUUACCUCUCCAUUUUUGAGUUGUUGACAAUUAGUUAAACAGAUUACUUGAAUUUCCUCAUUUCUUUCAUUUAAUAAACUAAUAAAAUCAUGAAAGAUGCCAAAUUUAAGUUAUUUUCUUAUAUUUUAUUUGAAUUUUGUAGCUCUCUUUUAUGAAUCAUGUAAACAACUUUGUCAUCAAAAGAUUUGUGUCUGGAGAGUGUAAUGAUAGAUAUAUGUAGAUGGGAGUGUCAGAUGAAAUUUAGUUUUCUGUUUUCCUAGUCCCGCCCUACUUGUGCCUGUUCUUUCAAUAAUUUUAAUCCCAUUUGUGUAAUCCAAGGUGAUUUGUGGAUACCAGAUAUGAUUAACAUAUAUAACAAUUGUCUCUGGCUAUUUUACCGAUGAGUAUUUGACAGAAUUGUUCCUUUGGGUAUAAUUGGACUAACAGGUAGUGAAAAUCAUCCAAGGUAGAUUAAGAAUAAGUGUUUUAUAUUUUUCUUGAAACAUUUUCUGGUAAUCCUAUUUCAACUCAUUUGUGUACAUGGACAUGGAAAAGUUACUUGUGGGCCUGAGAAACUUGGUAAAAUAUUCUUUUUCAAGACAAUUUGGUGCCGUUGCCUUGCAAAGAAUCACUUAUUUGGCUAUCAUUGGACCGAUCACGGAUGCUAAUGCAGGUGAUAGUCAACUUUAAGUCCAAAUUGUAAAGGUUCUAUCUCAAGUUCAAUUAAGCCAAAUAUUUCAGUCCUUCUGUUGCUCAGCCUGUCUUUUCAAGCGCUAGGCUUUGUUCUUGCUAGCCCAUGUUUAGUGUUGGAGAAUAAACUUUCUAUUGAUCUCAUAAUAUUGGAUGCCUCCAGCAUGGUUUCAGGUUCAGGCGUGACAAAGUGACAGAGAUUGCUCUUUUUUUUUUUUUUUGCGAAAUAUUCCAUUCUUUUUUAUUAGCCUGCCUACUAAUUGUUCAAUUUUUAUGGCAUUUUCCAUUUGCAUAAGCGGAAUCACAUUGCUCUGAUGUAGUUUCUGUGAUGCCAUGUUUUUGUGAAUUCUUAUAAACAAGUCAGCUGAAGAAAUUAUUAGAAAGUUUUGUUAAUAUAUAAUUGCAUCAUUCAAUAAUGAUCUCUCUUUUAGAGUAUGAUGUGUCUCAUAUAAGUAUGUUCUGAGUAUGCAGGCCUAGUAUAAACAGCAGGGAUGGUAACCUUUUCUCUCUGUCUCCCUAAGCUUUUGUCAUAUUGUAAAUUGUUAACUUUUCCUUCAGACAUGAUAAACUUCUCAUAUUAUGAUGCUCAGAGGCUAGCAAUUGAAAAAGUAAGAAUUCACUAGAUAACUCACUAUUUUAGAAAAUUGCUUUACGUGAAAGUUAAGUAUUUUGAAGUGUGAUUUCUAGGAGAUGCUUCUCUCAGAGCCUUUUCUUUUUGGGUGGGGUAAUUUGCCUGCCUAAAAGAAUCUGAUACAUCUUGAUUGAAUCAUGAUCUCUGGACAUUGAUGCUUGGAAAAUGUUGGCGUGAUUGAUGCGCUUAUCAUUUAAAGACUGAAUUAAACUACUAGCUUUUUCUGUUUCCAUAUUCUUAAUGUAUGAUUGGCUAACUGCUUUUGAGUGCUGAGUGGUUGUUUUAAUUUGUACAAUGCAUUUUUAUGUUGAGGUUACAUAGUACUGUAGUUUACCUUUCAAAUGGUAAUAAUUAGAUUCUGCUUCUGAAUAAGGAUACUAAGUCCAAAUGAAAACGGUUUCCUCGGAGUUCUUGCCUUCUUAUUCCGAUCAAGCAUAGGAUGGUUUCUGGUUGAAUCAACCAGAGUUCUCGCAUUUACAUGUUUGACUCUACAGUUUUGGUGUAUUUUAUUUGCCUUUCGAUGGGAUUGAUUUGAACGUAAUGCUGCUCAUUUGUCAUAUCUCCUACUGGUUGCCCAUCUUUUUAGUAGAAGGAGUUGAUCAUCUCUUUAUAUGUCCCAUGUAAAUGCUUGGGCAUAUACAAAGAGAAGUAUAGAACUGUCACAUGCAGAUAUUCAGAAGGCUACUCGUACAGAAGCAAAGUGCAUAAUCGGCUAAUCCUAAGUUUACAUGGGACAUUUUAGCAGGUGUACAACAUUAGGGGCACAUGUGUUAGCUAUUAUAUUUAAGGCAUGGAGCGUAGAUGCCUGGAAGGCUCUUCCACUAGUGCUUAAAAUGUCAAUAAUUUGUUGUGGAGAUGUGUUGCUGACUGAAGAUAGGAGGUUGCUGUAGAAUGAAUGAUAGUCUGGCUUUUCUUUCUUUUAAAGCUAUCGUUGUUGGAGCUUGUCGAGUUGCGGGACAUCUGCAUAUGUGCUUUUUCCCAUAGCUUUCCCUUAUCUUAGCUUGAUCUUUUAAAAGCCGUCUUUGGUGGAAAACUAGCUGAAGCCUUUUUGGACCAAGCAGAGAACCUCAAUCAUUUCUAGGCGAGCUAGUAGAGCAUGUGUGUAUCCCGGAUUGGCCGGUUCAGAGAAAUUGAACGAGAACAAUCUGUAAUAUGAGAUUUUAUUGUAGUUUACUCACUCAACUCACUGCCUGCCAUAGCAUAUUCUAAUUACACGUAUCCCAUUUACCAAGUAUCGAAUACGUAUGGAUUGGUUCUCUGGGAAGCUUAAAUUAUUGGUUUGCUUCAUUGCCGCAUCAAUUCGUAUAUCCACAUCAAGACGGAUUUUGAUGGACUCGAGACAAGUCAGAGCUACAUGAUUACAAUCGCAAAUUUUGUAUGGAAAAUUUCAUACUUGAAAAUAAUGCUUCUUUGCUUUAGUGUUUAGUGUUGAAUUGGUUGCUGAUGAUUGGGAUAUUAUUCAGUAUGCUUUCAUCAAUUUCUACCUUUUUUUCAAGUGUUGAAUGGCAAAAACAUUUUCUCCCUUUCGAGAUUUCCUUGAAAAACAACUACAAGCUCGACACUUGUUUCGGAAAAUAUCUGAUUCUGUAUAAAUGUAUCCAAAAUGAAGUGGUCUCGACUCAGUCACCUGAUGUUUCUUCUGCUGAAUUGGAGAUACCCCUCAGAUUCUCAGAGCUUCUGAAAAGGGUAGACCAGUCAAGCCUUGGAUAGUGACCCAACUUAGGACAAGGUCUGAGCUCAGAAGCAUGGUGCUGAGCUCAUUGUCAUAUACCC